RNAcentral lists this ribosomal RNA (974 nucleotides) under Enterococcus sp. VRE77B1_13_2E. RNAcentral's name for it is "bacterial SSU rRNA". It matches the Rfam family "Bacterial small subunit ribosomal RNA", at positions 80 to 1033 of the family's 1533-position model. Lineage: Bacteria; Bacillati; Bacillota; Bacilli; Lactobacillales; Enterococcaceae. The record is from RNAcentral.
AACCGAAAGAAAAGAGUGGCGAACGGGUGAGUAACACGUGGGUAACCUGCCCAUCAGAAGGGGAUAACACUUGGAAACAGGUGCUAAUACCGUAUAACAAGUAAAACCGCAUGGUUUUACUUUGAAAGGCGCUUUUGCGUCACUGAUGGAUGGACCCGCGGUGCAUUAGCUAGUUGGUGAGGUAACGGCUCACCAAGGCAACGAUGCAUAGCCGACCUGAGAGGGUGAUCGGCCACAUUGGGACUGAGACACGGCCCAAACUCCUACGGGAGGCAGCAGUAGGGAAUCUUCGGCAAUGGACGAAAGUCUGACCGAGCAACGCCGCGUGAGUGAAGAAGGUUUUCGGAUCGUAAAACUCUGUUGUUAGAGAAGAACAAGGAUGAGAGUAAAAUGUUCAUCCCUUGACGGUAUCUAACCAGAAAGCCACGGCUAACUACGUGCCAGCAGCCGCGGUAAUACGUAGGUGGCAAGCGUUGUCCGGAUUUAUUGGGCGUAAAGCGAGCGCAGGCGGUUUCUUAAGUCUGAUGUGAAAGCCCCCGGCUCAACCGGGGAGGGUCAUUGGAAACUGGGAAACUUGAGUGCAGAAGAGGAGAGUGGAAUUCCAUGUGUAGCGGUGAAAUGCGUAGAUAUAUGGAGGAACACCAGUGGCGAAGGCGGCUCUCUGGUCUGUAACUGACGCUGAGGCUCGAAAGCGUGGGGAGCAAACAGGAUUAGAUACCCUGGUAGUCCACGCCGUAAACGAUGAGUGCUAAGUGUUGGAGGGUUUCCGCCCUUCAGUGCUGCAGCUAACGCAUUAAGCACUCCGCCUGGGGAGUACGACCGCAAGGUUGAAACUCAAAGGAAUUGACGGGGGGCCCGCACAAGCGGUGGGAGCAUGUGGGUUUAAUUCGAAGCAACGCGAAGAACCUUACCAGGUCUUGACAUCCUUUGACCACUCUUAGAGAUAGAGCUUCCCCCUUCCCGGGGGCAAAGUG